This 397-nucleotide ribosomal RNA is filed under the name uncultured bacterium. RNAcentral's name for it is "partial 16S ribosomal RNA". It matches the Rfam family "Bacterial small subunit ribosomal RNA", at positions 523 to 918 of the family's 1533-position model. The record is from RNAcentral.
AUACGUAGGGGGCGAGCGUUGUCCGGAAUGAUUGGGCGUAAAGGGCGCGUAGGCGGCCCGGUAAGUCUGGAGUGAAAGUCCUGUUUUUAAGAUGGGAAUUGCUUUGGAUACUGUCGGGCUUGAGUGCAGGAGAGGUAAGUGGAAUUCCCAGUGUAGCGGUGAAAUGCGUAGAGAUUGGGAGGAACACCAGUGGCGAAGGCGACUUACAGGACUGUAACUGACGCUGAGGCGCGAAAGCGUGGGGAGCGAACAGGAUUAGAUACCCUGGUAGUCCACACUGUAAACGAUGAAUGCUAGGUGUAGGGUGUAUCGACCCCUUCUGUGCCGCAGUCAACACAAUAAGCAUUCCGCCUGGGGAGUACGGCCGCAAGGUUGAAACUCAAAUGAAUUGACGGGG